Molecule: long non-coding RNA, 1099 nt
Organism: Juglans microcarpa x Juglans regia
Lineage: Eukaryota; Viridiplantae; Streptophyta; Magnoliopsida; Fagales; Juglandaceae
Exons: 2
Source: RefSeq, a predicted model, not a curated record
UAAUGUGCUCUCGAAACUAUUGAUUGCAUCAAAGUGGACCAUUUUAUUUUUAUAAUGUCUCAAUCCCCCCCUUCCGUCCACAAUGAGAGUUAAAUCAAACGGAAGACUUACCCACAUGCUUUUCACAUGCUAAUCCUUUAAUGUAAAGACAAAAUCACCCCUCAUUCCAUCGACUUCCAUUUCCCCAAACUGAACUUCAUAUCCAAAAAUCCCCAAACUCCAUGGCCAAAACGACUUGUUUUAUUACUGCCCAAAAACGAUUUUGUUUCAAAGUGAAGAACGUCUAACUUGAAGCCAUUGGGAGCGAUGGAGAAAUAAGCUGGGGCAGAUUGCAAAGAAGGUGGGCGACGACGAACCCUAGCAAAGCUGUCGACCAUGACGUCAGCGUCCCCUUCGAGCUGUCGGUGACUCCAUUGCAGAUGAGUUUUUUGGUAGAGCUCUCAUUCAAAUUGCUUUCUCCAUCGCAGGUUGUGAAAGGUGUCUACUGGUUCAUCUAGCAUAAGCUGGGGUGGUAAAGCACCACUAGAUGACCCAUUUUGCCGUUGAAAUCUCUGAGCACGUCUAAGAGUGUCAACUACGGAUGAUAACUAUAAAAUGAAGUUCUGGAGAUGCCCAUAUUGGACUCCUGGUUGUUAACAUGGGGGUGGAGACAAGUUUUGUACAUUUUUUGAUUGGGUAGAUGAUGAUUUUUACUCCACGUGCGGAGAUGUCGUUGGCCAGCUACGAGAUAGACUUCGGAUACGGAGUCUGAGUUUAAGAUUGAGAAGUUCGAAUUAGAGGCUAACUUAGUGAUGUAGAGGGAGCACAAGGAGCAUAUCCAAGAGUUGUGCAAUAAGUUGAAGGAAAAAUCUACGGAAUUGGAGGCUAACUUAAUGAUGGAGAGGGAGCGCAUGGAGCAUAUCCAACAGCUUUUGUAUAAGGAGAAGGAAAAAUCUAAAUAUUUGGGCAAGAAAUACAAUAACUGCAUAUGAUGUGGUGUCAUUGUAAUUGUUUUGGUUGUUGCUGUUAUUUGCAUGAAAAUGUCUCAUUAUGCUAAUGAAGGUCGCCAUUACUUGAUGAUAGCGUAGAAUUGCUUAAUGUAAUUUUUUGGAUGUGUAUU